Molecule: ribosomal RNA, 445 nt
Filed under: uncultured bacterium
Lineage: Bacteria
Description: partial 16S ribosomal RNA
Rfam family: Bacterial small subunit ribosomal RNA
Source: RNAcentral
CGAACGCUGGCGGCAGGCCUGAUACAUGCAAGUCGAACGGCUCUUCGGAGCAGUGGCGGACGGGUGAGUAACGCGUGGGAAUGUGCCCUUAGGUACGGAACAACACAGGGAAACUUGUGCUAAUACCGUAUGUGCCCUUCGGGGGAAAGAUUUAUCGCCUUUGGAGCAGCCCGCGUUGGAUUAGGUAGUUGGUGAGGUAAAGGCUCACCAAGCCGACGAUCCAUAGCUGGUCUGAGAGGAUGACCAGCCACACUGGGACUGAGACACGGCCCAGACUCCUACGGGAGGCAGCAGUAGGGAAUCUUGCGCAAUGGGCGAAAGCCUGACGCAGCCAUGCCGCGUGUAUGAUGAAGGUCUUAGGAUUGUAAAAUACUUUCACCGGGGAAGAUAAUGACGGUACCCGGAGAAGAAGCCCCGGCUAACUUCGUGCCAGCAGCCGCGGUAA